Molecule: ribosomal RNA, 1290 nt
Filed under: Triticum aestivum (bread wheat)
Lineage: Eukaryota; Viridiplantae; Streptophyta; Magnoliopsida; Poales; Poaceae
Description: partial small subunit ribosomal RNA
Source: RNAcentral
AUGGAGCUGGCUCUCGGCUCGGCGGCUUCGCUCCUCGGCAAGGUGUGGACGACGCUGUCCGACGGCCUGGUGGCGGCGUACGUGGACAGCCUCCAGCUCGGCCACAACUCGGAGCAGAUCAGGGCCAAGCUGCUGCAGACGCAAGGCCUGCUGCACAACGCCCAGGCCCAGGGGAGCCACGUCGGCGACAACCUUGCCCUGCAGCGCUUGCUGGAGAAGCUGAGAAGGGACGCCGACCAGGCAGAGGACUUGCUGGAUGAGGUCCACUACUUCCACAUCCAUGACAGGCUCCACAGCACCAACUACGCCACCACCCAAGAUCUGGACGGCCUUGUCCGCGGUCAAGCUCUCCUCGCCCGUAGUGCUCUUCGCCACACCCUAGGCAGUUGGUUCCAGUGUUUUUCUUGCUCCCGUACACCCAAGACCAAUAGGGAUGGUGGUGAUGCUGCUGCUGCUGCUGUUGCCAGAGCACCACGCCACGUCACCAACUCCAGUUCUGCUACUGCUGCUGCUGUUGCCGGCGACACCAACUCCAACUCUGCUAGUGCUGAUGAUGGUGAUACGCUGCAUUUCGACAGAGUGUCCAUGUCCAGAGAAAUCAAGUCCCUGUUACAGGGCAUGCAGUCCCACUGUGAUUUGGUCUCCAAUUUGCUCAGCAGUACCCCAAUCAACAACACGGCAGUCGUCCGACAUCGGCCUCAGACUGGUUCCAUGAUUAUACCAGACACAUUGUAUGGCAGGACAGACACUUUUGAGGAAACUGUCAAUUGUAUCACCGAUACUGGUGCCACAAAGACUAUUUCUGUUCUUCCUAUAGUUGGUCCAGGGGGUAUUGGAAAGACAACUUUCACCACUCACCUGUACAAUGAUGGAAGGACUCAAGACCACUUCCAAGUCAGGGUCUGGGUAUGUGUAUCCACUGAUUUCGAUGUGCUUAAGCUCACCAGGGAGAUCCUUGCCUGCAUACCUGCAACUGAAGAAGGAGGAAGCAGCAGUGUUGCAAAUGAAACAACCAAUUUAGAUCAUCUUCAGAGAUCCAUUGUGCGACGUCUCAAGUCCAAGAGGUUUCUAAUUGUCUUGGACGAUAUAUGGAAAUGUGACGGUGCUGAUCAGUGGAAAACCCUGUUAGCUCCGUUCGCAAUGGGGGAAACCAAAGGAAGCAUGCUACUUGUCACAACUCGAUUCCCAAAAGUAGCAGACAUGGUGAAAACAGUUGAUCCACUAGAGCUGCGAGGUUUGGAGUCUAAUGAUUUCAUCACAUUAUUUGAAGCAUGUAUAUUUGGUAGCUAA